GGGCUUGUACUGGUUUCGACGGGGGUUUAGAAGUUGGAGUAGCCAUCCGCAGUGCGGAACUGCGUUGUCAUCCGCAAACUUUAAAAUUAAACGCAGAAGAUAAUUUAGCGUACGCUGCCUAAUUGCGGCAGCAGUCGGCCUUAAGUCACUCACCGCUUAAGUAACCGGCUUCAUCCAGGUGGGGCACUCUGUUGCCAAAGCUUUGCGGCGGCAGAAGAUUUUAUGAAGCUACUGAAGUGAACAGCCUGUCGCUGGGCGGUUUAUGGAGGGAAUGAAAGUAUAGCGACUGUGAUUGGAAGAAGCUGCAAUGGAAGAGCUUUCGGACAGGGGUUCGAUUCCCCUCAGGUCCA
This 350-nucleotide transfer-messenger RNA is filed under the name human gut metagenome. It matches the Rfam family "transfer-messenger RNA". Rfam says of the family: Bacterial tmRNA, also known as 10Sa RNA or SsrA, is named for its dual tRNA and mRNA-like properties. The record is from RNAcentral.